ACGGGGUGCAGCAGGCGCGAAAACUUCACACUGUGCGAAAGCACGAUGAGGGAAUCCCAAGUGCCAACUCGUAAGAGCUGGCUGUUUCUCUGUCUAAAAAAUAGAGAGAGUAAGAGCUGGGUAAGACGGGUGCCAGCCGCCGCGGUAAUACCUGCAGCUCAAGUGGUGGCCACUAUUAUUGGGCCUAAAACGUCCGUAGCCGGUUUAAUAAAUGCCGGGGUAAAUCGUGUAGCUUAACUAUACGAAUUCCGGGUAGACUGUUAGACUUGAGACCGGGAGAAGCUAGAGGUACUCCUGGGGUAGAGGUGAAAUUCUGUAAUCCUAGGGGGACCACCAGUGGCGAAGGCGUCUAGCUAGAACGGGUCUGACGGUGAGGGACGAAGCCCUGGGGCGCAAACCGGAUUAGAUACCCGGGUAGUCCAGGGUGUAAACGCUGCUUGCUUGAUGUUAGUUGGGCUCCGAGCCCAAUUAGUGUCGGAGAGAAGUUGUUAAGCAAGCUGCCUGGGAAGUACGGCCGCAAGACUGAAACUUAAAGGAAUUGGCGGGGGAGCACAGCAACGGGUGGAGCGUGCGGUUUAAUUGGAUUCAACGCCGGAAAUCUCACCGGAGGCGACGGUUACAUGAAGGCCAGGCUGAUGACUUUGCCUGAUUUUCCGAGAGGUGGUGCAUGGCCGCCGUCAGUUCGUAC
This 688-nucleotide ribosomal RNA is filed under the name uncultured archaeon. RNAcentral describes it as "bacterial SSU rRNA". It matches the Rfam family "Archaeal small subunit ribosomal RNA", at positions 325 to 1014 of the family's 1478-position model. The record is from RNAcentral.